GAUGAAGAACGCAGCGAAAUGCGAUAAGUAAUGCGAAUUGCAGAAUUCCAGUGAGUCAUCGAAUCUUUGAACGCACAUUGCGCCCUUUGGUAUUCCGAAGGGCAUGCCUGUUCGAGCGUCAUUAUCACCCCUCAAGCCCUCGGCUUGGUGUUGGACGGUUUGGUGGAGGCCCCCUCGGGGGUUCCUGCCCCUCCCAAAGACAAUGACGGCGGCCUCGUUGGACCCCCGGUACACUGAGUUCUUCACGGGACACGUAUCGGACACAUGGGUUUACGGGACACGGUCUGCCUCCCCUCAGGGAGAAUCUUUCUAAGGUUGACCUCGGAUCAGGUAGGGAUACCCGCUGAACUUGAGCAUAUCAAUAAGCGGAGGA
Molecule: unclassified non-coding RNA, 373 nt
Filed under: soil metagenome
Description: partial contains 5.8S ribosomal RNA, internal transcribed spacer 2, and large subunit ribosomal RNA
Rfam family: 5.8S ribosomal RNA (bases 1-121)
Source: RNAcentral